UAUCACAACCCUUUUUCGUAGCAGAAGUAUUUACCGGUUUAAGCAAAAUAAGUUUAUACACCUAAUUUUGUUCCUG
RNAcentral lists this transfer RNA (76 nucleotides) under Prunus campanulata (Taiwan cherry). RNAcentral describes it as "tRNA-Val". Lineage: Eukaryota; Viridiplantae; Streptophyta; Magnoliopsida; Rosales; Rosaceae. The record is from RNAcentral.